RNAcentral lists this ribosomal RNA (23 nucleotides) under Vibrio vulnificus. Its description in RNAcentral is "partial 16S ribosomal RNA". Lineage: Bacteria; Pseudomonadati; Pseudomonadota; Gammaproteobacteria; Vibrionales; Vibrionaceae. The record is from RNAcentral.
UGGUAGUGUUAAUAGCACUAUCA